Non-coding RNA from Gasterosteus aculeatus aculeatus (three-spined stickleback), 185 nucleotides. NCBI's taxonomy places the organism in Eukaryota, Metazoa, Chordata, Actinopteri, Perciformes, Gasterosteidae. The record is from RefSeq and is a predicted model, not a curated record.
UCAAAGAUGUUGGUCCCUCUGUUGAUGCAAGUUCACAUCAGCAGAGAGGAAAGUCUCCUGAACCCAGAUGUUUGUCCAUGAAGAGUGAUCGGUCUAAUGAUCGAUAUAUUAACUUCCAAGAUGGACGCCGUUCUAAUGACCCAGAAGAGGACCAGGAGAGCUCAGAGGUUCCCACAGGUCCGUCU